AGUGAACGCUGGCGGUAGGCCUAACACAUGCAAGUCGAACGGCAGCACAGUAAGAGCUUGCUCUUACGGGUGGCGAGUGGCGGACGGGUGAGGAAUACAUCGGAAUCUACUUUUUCGUGGGGGAUAACGUAGGGAAACUUACGCUAAUACCGCAUACGACCUACGGGUGAAAGCAGGGGAUCUUCGGACCUUGCGCGAUUGAAUGAGCCGAUGUCGGAUUAGCUAGUUGGCGGGGUAAAGGCCCACCAAGGCGACGAUCCGUAGCUGGUCUGAGAGGAUGAUCAGCCACACUGGAACUGAGACACGGUCCAGACUCCUACGGGAGGCAGCAGUGGGGAAUAUUGGACAAUGGGCGCAAGCCUGAUCCAGCCAUACCGCGUGGGUGAAGAAGGCCUUCGGGUUGUAAAGCCCUUUUGUUGGGAAAGAAAAGCAGCAGGUUAAUACCCCGUUGUUCUGACGGUACCCAAAGAAUAAGCACCGGCUAACUUCG
This 490-nucleotide ribosomal RNA is filed under the name uncultured bacterium. RNAcentral describes it as "partial 16S ribosomal RNA". It matches the Rfam family "Bacterial small subunit ribosomal RNA", at positions 29 to 505 of the family's 1533-position model. The record is from RNAcentral.